This 622-nucleotide ribosomal RNA is filed under the name uncultured bacterium. RNAcentral describes it as "bacterial SSU rRNA". The stretch from base 1 to 552 matches the Rfam family "Bacterial small subunit ribosomal RNA", at positions 338 to 873 of the family's 1533-position model. The record is from RNAcentral.
CCUACGGGAGGCAGCAGUGGGGAAUUGUUCGCAAUGGGCGAAGGCCUGACGACGCAACGCCGCGUGGAGGAUGAAGACCUUCGGGUCGUAAACUCCUUUCGACCGAGAAGAAUGGCUCUCGACCUAAUACGUCGAGAGCAUGACGGUACCGAGGGAAGAAGCCCCGGCUAACUCUGUGCCAGCAGCCGCGGUAAUACAGGGGGGGUCAAGCGUUGUUCGGAAUUACUGGGCGUAAAGGGUUCGUAGGUGGCCAACUAAGUCAGACGUGAAAUCCCUCAGCUUAACUGGGGAACUGCGUCUGAUACUGGAUGGCUUGAGUGCAGGAGAGGAACGCGGAAUUCCAGGUGUAGCGGUGAAAUGCGUAGAUAUCUGGAGGAACACCGGUGGCGAAGGCGGCGUUCUGGACUGUAACUGACACUGAGGAACGAAAGCCAGGGGUAGCAAACGGGGAUUAGGAUACCCCCGGGUAGUCCUGGCCCUAAACGGAUGAAUGCUUGGUGUAACGGGUAUCGAUCCCUGUUGUGCCGAAGCUAACGCAUUAAGCNUCGCGCGGAGUACGUCGCGAGCGNGAACACAANAGAGUAGAGCGUGAGAGNGCGACGGACGACGACGAGGGAGGAGG